This is a long non-coding RNA of Xiphophorus hellerii (green swordtail), 647 nucleotides long. RefSeq lists it as uncharacterized. The record is from RefSeq and is a predicted model, not a curated record. The transcript has 3 exons. NCBI's taxonomy places the organism in Eukaryota, Metazoa, Chordata, Actinopteri, Cyprinodontiformes, Poeciliidae.
CUGUUAUGCAAGUUUGUGUUAUAUUUUUUUUGGCGCCGGCACAGCUGGCUGCUUGCAGACGCAGCUCCCGUCGUGUGUGUUAAUCUGUGUAUAUUUGCUGUAACCGAUUAAGGAUCCAUGCUUAAAGAACCCAUAGAUCAUCAGUUAAGCUUUCCACAAUGGCUGGAUGUGGUUCUGUCGCUGUUCUCCGCGUUCUUCUGCUACUUUUUCUACUCUUUGUUACGGAGAACCUCGCCGAACGGAGUAGCGGCAUUGUUUACUCGCGUGAACAGCUGAUUGCGCUGUGUAAGCCUCUGCUGCUGCCCGGAGACAGGCCUGUGGUCCCAGAGGAGACGACGGGACUGCAGGUUUGGAGUUAAACGGAGGGAGAAGAGGAGACGGCACAAACCAGCGGUACCGGUGAUUAUUGUGGGGAACGUGAGGUCUUUGGGGAAUAAGACGGACGAACUCACGGCGCUGGUUAGGACCCAGAAGGAGUACAGGGAAUGCAGUAUCUUCUGCUUCACGGAAACCUGGCUACACUCGUUUAUUCCGGACUACAGCGUGGAGGUCCCUGGAUUUUCCUUGGUGCGGGGGGACAGGGACUUUUCCAAGAGUCGGAAGAAGAAGGGCGGCGGGAUUGCACUUUAUGUGAGUGAGAGGUGGUG